Molecule: ribosomal RNA, 439 nt
Filed under: uncultured Mitsuokella sp.
Lineage: Bacteria; Bacillati; Bacillota; Negativicutes; Selenomonadales; Selenomonadaceae
Description: bacterial SSU rRNA
Rfam family: Bacterial small subunit ribosomal RNA
Source: RNAcentral
CCUACGGGAGGCAGCAGUGGGGAAUCUUCCGCAAUGGGCGCAAGCCUGACGGAGCAACGCCGCGUGAGUGAAGAAGGGUUUCGACUCGUAAAGCUCUGUUGUCGGGGACGAAUGUGGAGGUUGUGAAUAACAGCUUCCAAUGACGGUACCUGACGAGGAAGCCACGGCUAACUACGUGCCAGCAGCCGCGGUAAUACGUAGGUGGCGAGCGUUGUCCGGAAUUAUUGGGCGUAAAGGGAGCGCAGGCGGGAGAUCAAGUCUAUCUUAAAAGUGCGGGGCUCAACCCCGUGAGGGGAUGGAAACUGGUCUUCUUGAGUGCAGGAGAGGAAAGCGGAAUUCCUAGUGUAGCGGUGAAAUGCGUAGAUAUUAGGAGGAACACCAGUGGCGAAGGCGGCUUUCUGGACUGUAACUGACGCUGAGGCUCGAAAGCGUGGGGAGC